ACGGGUGAGUAAUAUAUCGGAACGUGCCCUAGAGUGGGGGAUAACUAGUCGAAAGACUAGCUAAUACCGCAUACGAUCUACGGAUGAAAGUGGGGGAUCGCAAGACCUCAUGCUCCUGGAGCGGCCGAUAUCUGAUCAGCUAGUUGGUGGGGUAAAAGCCUACCAAGGCAACGAUCAGUAGCUGGUCUGAGAGGACGACCAGCCACACUGGGACUGAGACACGGCCCAGACUCCUACGGGAGGCAGCAGUGGGGAAUUUUGGACAAUGGGGGCAACCCUGAUCCAGCAAUGCCGCGUGAGUGAAGAAGGCCUUCGGGUUGUAAAGCUCUUUUGUCAGGGAAGAAACGGUAGUAGCUAAUAUCUAUUACUAAUGACGGUACCUGAAGAAUAAGCACCGGCUAACUACGUGCCAGCAGCCGCGGUAAUACGUAGGGUGCAAGCGUUAAUCGGAAUUACUGGGCGUAAAGCGUGCGCAGGCGGUUGUGUAAGUCAGAUGUGAAAUCCCCGGGCUCAACCUGGGAAUUGCAUUUGAGACUGCACGGCUAGAGUGUGUCAGAGGGGGGUAGAAUUCCACGUGUAGC
RNAcentral lists this ribosomal RNA (581 nucleotides) under uncultured bacterium. RNAcentral's name for it is "bacterial SSU rRNA". It matches the Rfam family "Bacterial small subunit ribosomal RNA", at positions 102 to 679 of the family's 1533-position model. The record is from RNAcentral.